UAGGGAAUCUUCGGCAAUGGGGGGAACCCUGACCGAGCAACGCCGCGUGAGUGAAGAAGGUUUUCGGAUCGUAAAGCUCUGUUGUUAAGGAAGAACGAGUGUGAGAAUGGAAAGUUCAUGCUGUGACGGUACUUAACCAGAAAGGGACGGCUAACUACGCGCCAGCAGCCGCGGUAAUACGUAGGUCCCGAGCGUUGUCCGGAUUUAUUGGGCGUAAAGCGAGCGCAGGCGGUUAGAAAAGUCUGAAGUGAAAGGCAGUGGCUCAACCAUUGUAGGCUUUGGAAACUGUUUAACUUGAGUGCAGAAGGGGAGGGUGGAAUUCCAUGUGUAGCGGUGAAAUGCGUAGAUAUAUGGAGGAACACCGGUGGCGAAAGCGGCUCUCUGGUCUGUAACUGACGCGGAGGCUCGAAAGCGUGGGGAGCGAACAGG
RNAcentral lists this ribosomal RNA (429 nucleotides) under Bacteroidota bacterium. RNAcentral's name for it is "Bacteroidetes bacterium partial 16S ribosomal RNA". It matches the Rfam family "Bacterial small subunit ribosomal RNA", at positions 355 to 776 of the family's 1533-position model. Lineage: Bacteria; Pseudomonadati; Bacteroidota. The record is from RNAcentral.